UGCACCAAAGAGAAUAGCUCCACCUAUCCUUGAGCCAACAAGACUCGAUGCAAGUACUCAGUAGAGAAUCCAGGUUCUCCAUCUCUGAGUUGGCAAGCUUCAAACCAACUAUGAAGUUUUUUCAAGCUCUCACCAAGAGUCUCUUCUAAUUAUUAAGACUAGCUUAGAUGUUGCCAACCACUGUCCAUCUCAAUAGAAGUUUCAUGAGUAUUAUGUUCUAUACUGCAUAAGCAAAAUUGCUGACUUAAGGUCAUUAUAAGUAGAGAGGAGGGGGAAUUUCAUCGGAUGAGAGAGGAGUUUCAUCCCUGUAACACCCAUCAGGCUCGGUUACCAGGUCCUCAGUUUUGAUAACAAUGCAAUGAAAUAGUACACUAAGACUGGUGAAUAACAAAACUACAUGCCUCAAUUGAGCCAAAUCAAGCCUAAACAAUAGCUAGAGGUACACUUGCAACUCCCCUUCACUAAUGAUGAAUUGACGAUGUGCUUUAACCUUUAUUUAGAACUUUACUAAUCACCCUAGUGCUCUUCUUGACACUUGAAAUAUCACAAGGUAUCUCAACUCAUCACAAUGAAAAGAAUACUCAACUGGAUUAAGUUGAGGUGGUAUUUAUAAGAGUAAAG
This 621-nucleotide long non-coding RNA is filed under the name Setaria viridis. Its description in RNAcentral is "long non-coding RNA (SVIR_LNC010324)". Lineage: Eukaryota; Viridiplantae; Streptophyta; Magnoliopsida; Poales; Poaceae. The record is from RNAcentral.